This 163-nucleotide small nuclear RNA is filed under the name Rhodnius prolixus. Its description in RNAcentral is "U4 spliceosomal RNA". It matches the Rfam family "U4 spliceosomal RNA". Rfam says of the family: U4 small nuclear RNA (U4 snRNA) is a component of the major U2-dependent spliceosome. Lineage: Eukaryota; Metazoa; Arthropoda; Insecta; Hemiptera; Reduviidae. The record is from Rfam by way of RNAcentral.
AACCUUGCGCAAUGGCAAUAUCGCAAUACCAAUGAAGGCCUCCUGAGGUGCGAUUAUUGCUAGUUGAAAACUUUUACCAAUACCCCUCCAUGAAGCCUUGAAACAAGACCUGCGAAGCUAACAUGUAUUGUUGGUUUAGUGGGUUCGAUUCCCUAUCUCUAGG